RNAcentral lists this ribosomal RNA (403 nucleotides) under uncultured bacterium. RNAcentral's name for it is "partial 16S ribosomal RNA". It matches the Rfam family "Bacterial small subunit ribosomal RNA", at positions 30 to 526 of the family's 1533-position model. The record is from RNAcentral.
AUUGAACGCUGGCGGCAGGCCUAACACAUGCAAGUCGAGCGAGCGGCGGAAGGGUGAGUAAUGUAUGGGGACUGCCCGAUAGAGGGGGAUAACUACUGGAAACGGUAGCUAAUACCGCAUACUAUCGGAUAACCCAUAGGGGAUUAGCUAGUAGGUGAGGUACUGGCUCACCUAGGAGACGAUCCCUAGCUGGUCUGAUAGGAUGAUAAGCCACACUGGGACGGAGACACGGCCCAGACUCCUACGGAGGCAGCAGUGGGUAAUAGUGCACAAUGGGCGCAAGCCUGAUUCAGCCAUGCCGCGUGUAUGAAGAAGGCCCUAGGGUUGUAAAGUACUUUCAGUCGGGAGGCGUUACCUACAGAAGAAGCACCGGCUAACUCCGUGCCAGCAGCCGCGGUAAUAC